AAUGCUGGACGUUUUCUGUCUCAGGAAAGCCAUAAAAAAGCAGUGAAGAGCAACAGAAACUCUACCACGACAAAUAUAGCAUCAACCACUCCAUCAAGCAGGAGGCUUGAAGAGCAGAUUGGUCAACUCCAUCAUCACAGUAAGUACUUUACAAGUGCACUUAAAUUCAGAGAGCAACUACCAUUGAAUUCAAUGAUACUCCAGAAAGCCACAGGAAAAGGAUGCCCACCUCUGAGAAAACAGUAUUAUUGGCAAAUAUCUAAUGAGUUCAUAUGUGUUUGCUUACACCACAGGAGAUCAUAUUGCUCAUCAGCAAACCCUUAGCCAUUGAAUGUUUGACUCUGUUCAGCUCAGAGAUGCAAGUAAUUUCUCACUGAAAGCUUUAAUUUUUCUUGCAGAAGCAUAAUCAAAAGAGAUAUAGAGCUCUACAGCUGAAGGAACUGCAGGAAAGACAUGAAAUUCAGACUCACAGAGAAGCACUGACUCCCCAGGGAGGUGACUCCUGUAGUAGUAACAAGUCUCAGCCUACAGUCGUCAUCUGUUUCUCCU
RNAcentral lists this long non-coding RNA (549 nucleotides) under Numida meleagris (helmeted guineafowl). RNAcentral's name for it is "lncRNA (ENSNMEG00000008314.1)". Lineage: Eukaryota; Metazoa; Chordata; Aves; Galliformes; Numididae. The record is from RNAcentral.